This 30-nucleotide non-coding RNA is filed under the name Mus musculus (house mouse). The record is from RNAcentral. Lineage: Eukaryota; Metazoa; Chordata; Mammalia; Rodentia; Muridae.
UGACGAAGAACUAAAGGAAGUUCUAUGCCU